AGUUUAGUUCAAAUUUUCGGAAUUAAUAACAUACCUGAUCGAUACUGCUGAUGCUUGGUGAAAGUCCACCGUGCACACAAAAAACCUUUCCAUCCACCAAAGCACCAAGCGAAAGAUAAUCAAAUAUUUCACAACAAUAUCGCCAUACAUUGGCAGAACCAUAUUUCCUUACACAUUCGUCAUAAAAUCCAUAAACUUGUGUUAUUUGUCGUGAUUCAUGAUUUCCCCGGAUAAGGGUCAUCUCUUUCGGAUAUUUACAUUUUAAAGUCAAUAACAGGAGAAAUGUUUCUACAGAGUAAAACCCUCUAUCAACAAAAUCCCCUAGAAAUAAAUAUUUUGUACCUGGACAUGACCCACCAAUUCGAAAAAGCUCCAGUAAAUCAUGCAAUUGGCCAUGGAUAUCACCACAAAUGGUUACAGGAGAUGAGAUCCAUUGUAUGUUAGAUUCCUCAAUUAAAAUAUCUCUUACACGCUGACAAAGUUCAACAACUACCACAAAACGUUAGACCCCAUUCUUAUAAUUAUGGCAAAGAACAACCAAUAUGAAUGAUCGUUGUUAUAUCGACGGAGAUAAAAGUUAUUCUAUAAAUACUAUUAUACAUACCAUUUGAUUCUGGAAUUAACCUUCCGUUCUCCAGUUCCUCAAGUUGCCAAUCCAAAUCUAAAUCAGUCAUUUUGAACUCGUCAAAACAUAAAGUAAAGAAAACUAGAAUAACUUGGUCCUUUAGAAUAAGAAAAUAAACAAGUGAAAUUCUUUUUCAACUUUAUGUAUCAUUUAAGAAAUUUAAUUUUAAAUAAGUCAAAAUACCUCUGUCAAGAGGUAUGACGCGUAGAGCUUUGGUGACUAAAAUUCGGUUUUC
Non-coding RNA from Schizosaccharomyces pombe (fission yeast), 860 nucleotides. The record is from the annotation of a GenBank genome assembly. NCBI's taxonomy places the organism in Eukaryota, Fungi, Ascomycota, Schizosaccharomycetes, Schizosaccharomycetales, Schizosaccharomycetaceae.